Molecule: long non-coding RNA, 363 nt
Filed under: Penaeus japonicus
Lineage: Eukaryota; Metazoa; Arthropoda; Malacostraca; Decapoda; Penaeidae
Description: uncharacterized LOC122254455
Source: RNAcentral
GCGGCUGUGAAAACCCCACGUAUAUCUGAGACAGUCCCCUCCUCUGCGCUCACUCUUUGCGUCCUCUACGAAGCGAUACCAUGUUGGCCAGGCUUUUGACUUGCUUGGUACUCCUGAGCGUGAUUCUUGCUAUGUCUUAUUCAGUUCGCGCCAUCAACUCUGACGAUGUCAUAGAUUGCAGACUUAAAUGUUACAAGAAACUUAGAGAUGGAACAUGUGAGCUUGACUGGCUGUGUUUUCUCACGGAAUGAAUGGCCGGCGACUGGCACUUGUUUCCUUGCGCAUUUGCCACGUCGAAGGGAACAAAUAGACUACCGAGGAGUAUUGUAUAAUGAAGAUAAUAAACUUUUCACCUUGUGAUCU